RNAcentral lists this non-coding RNA (26 nucleotides) under Mus musculus (house mouse). Lineage: Eukaryota; Metazoa; Chordata; Mammalia; Rodentia; Muridae. The record is from RNAcentral.
UAAAGUCUACAAGGGUCACUGGUUCC